Molecule: ribosomal RNA, 254 nt
Filed under: uncultured bacterium
Lineage: Bacteria
Description: partial 16S ribosomal RNA
Rfam family: Bacterial small subunit ribosomal RNA
Source: RNAcentral
UACGAAGGGUGCAAGCGUUAAUCGGAAUUACUGGGCGUAAAGCGUGCGUAGACGGCGAUUUAAGUCAAUUGUGAAACCCCUGGGCUCAACCUAGGACGUGCAGUUGAUACUGAAUUGCUUUGAGUUUGAGAGAGGAUGGUGGAAUUCCUGGUGUAGCGGUGAAAUGCGUAGAGAUCAGGAGGAACACUAGUGGCGAAGGCGGCCAUCUGGCUUAAAACUGACGUUGAGGCACGAAAGCGUGGGGAGCAAACAGG